AGCGUUGUCCGGAAUUAUUGGGCGUAAAGAGCUCGUAGGCGGUUUGUCGCGUCUGCUGUGAAAACUGGAGGCUCAACCUCCAGCCUGCAGUGGGUACGGGCAGACUAGAGUGCGGUAGGGGAGAUUGGAAUUCCUGGUGUAGCGGUGGAAUGCGCAGAUAUCAGGAGGAACACCGAUGGCGAAGGCAGAUCUCUGGGCCGUAACUGACGCUGAGGAGCGAAAGCAUGGGGAGCGAACAGGAUUAGAUACCCUGGUAGUCCAUGCCGUAAACGUUGGGAACUAGAUGUGGGGGCCAUUCCACGGUCUCCGUGUCGCAGCUAACGCAUUAAGUUCCCCGCCUGGGGAGUACGGCCGCAAGGCUAAAACUCAAAGGAAUUGACGGGGGCCCGCACAAGCGGCGGAGCAUGCGGAUUAAUUCGAUGCAACGCGAAGAACCUUACCAAGGCUUGACAUAUACGAGAACGGGCCAGAAAUGGUCAACUCUUUGGACACUCGUAAACAGGUGGUGCAUGGUUGUCGUCAGCUCGUGUCGUGAGAUGUUGGGUUAAGUCCCGCAACGAGCGCAACCCUCGUUCUAUGUUGCCAGCACGUUAUGGUGGGAACUCAUAGGAGACUGCCGGGGUCAACUCGGAGGAAGGUGGGGAUGACGUCAAAUCAUCAUGCCCCUUAUGUCUUGGGCUUCACGCAUGCUACAAUGGCCGGUACAAAGGGCUGCAAUACCGUAAGGUGGAGCGAAUCCCAAAAAGCCGGUCUCAGUUCGGAUUGAGGUCUGCAACUCGACCUCAUGAAGUCGGAGUCGCUAGUAAUCGCAGAUCAGCAACGCUGCGGUGAAUACGUUCCCGGGCCUUGUACACACCGCCCGUCAAGUCAUGAAAGUCGGUAA
Molecule: ribosomal RNA, 883 nt
Filed under: Agreia pratensis
Lineage: Bacteria; Bacillati; Actinomycetota; Actinomycetes; Micrococcales; Microbacteriaceae
Description: bacterial SSU rRNA
Rfam family: Bacterial small subunit ribosomal RNA
Source: RNAcentral